UCUUCCGUUGGUUCCCUGAGCCUCUCUCAGGCUGCAAGUGAGUCCAUUGCCUCUUGUUGUGGACACAGAAUACUACUGGUUCAAAGAAAAUGAAGAUGUUUUUCCUGAAUUUUCCCCCUGCUCGCUGAGCCUUUUACUAUUGCCCCUCAGAGCUGGUAUCGACUCAGGAACAGAAUAAACAGACUGAAACAACA
Molecule: long non-coding RNA, 194 nt
Organism: Ornithorhynchus anatinus (platypus)
Lineage: Eukaryota; Metazoa; Chordata; Mammalia; Monotremata; Ornithorhynchidae
Exons: 2
Source: RefSeq, a predicted model, not a curated record